AGUGAACGCUGGCGGUAGGCCUAACACAUGCAAGUCGAACAGCAGCACAGUAAGAGCUUGCUCUUACGGGUGGCGAGUGGCGGACGGGUGAGGAAUACAUCGGAAUCUACUUUUUCGUGGGGGAUAACGUGGGGAAACUUACGCUAAUACCGCAUACGACCUACGGGUGAAAGCAGGGGAUCUUCGGACCUUGCGCGAUUGAAUGAGCCGAUGUCGGAUUAGCUAGUUGGCGGGGUAAAGGCCCACCAAGGCGACGAUCCGUAGCUGGUCUGAGAGGAUGAUCAGCCACACUGGAACUGAGACACGGUCCAGACUCCUACGGGAGGCAGCAGUGGGGAAUAUUGGACAAAGGGCGCAAGCCUGAUCCAGCCAUACCGCGUGGGUGAAGAAGGCCUUCGGGUUGUAAAGCCCUUUUGUUGGGAAAGAAAAGCAGCAGGUUAAUACCCCGCUGUUCUGACGGUACCCAAAGAAUAAGCACCGGCUAACUUCGUG
This 492-nucleotide ribosomal RNA is filed under the name uncultured bacterium. RNAcentral describes it as "partial 16S ribosomal RNA". It matches the Rfam family "Bacterial small subunit ribosomal RNA", at positions 29 to 507 of the family's 1533-position model. The record is from RNAcentral.